CCUACGGGGAGCAGCAGUGGGGAAUAUUGCACAAUGGGGGAAACCCUGAUGCAGCGACGCCGCGUGAGUGAAGAAGUAAUUCGUUAUGUAAAGCUCUGUCAGCAGGGAAGAAAGAAAUGACGGUACCUGACCAAGAAGCCCCGGCUAACUACGUGCCAGCAGCCGCGGAAAUACGUAGGGGGCAAGCGUUAUCCGGAAUUACUGGGUGUAAAGGGAGCGUAGACGGUGAUGCAAGUCUGGAGUGAAAGGCGGGGGCCCAACCCCCGGACUGCUCUGGAAACUGUGUAACUUGAGUGCAGGAGAGGUAAGCGGAAUUCCUAGUGUAGCGGUGAAAUGCGUAGAUAUUAGGAGGAACACCAGUGGCGAAGGCGGCUUACUGGACUGUAACUGACGUUGAGGCUCGAAAGCGUGGGGAGCAAACAGGAUUAGAUACCCUAGUAGUC
Molecule: ribosomal RNA, 443 nt
Filed under: uncultured bacterium
Lineage: Bacteria
Description: partial 16S ribosomal RNA
Rfam family: Bacterial small subunit ribosomal RNA
Source: RNAcentral